GAAGUAGACCAGGCAGUCGCUGUUCCGGCCUUCGGGUCGGAAGAGAGGAAAGUCCGGGCUCCACAGGGCAGGAUACUCCGUAACGCGGAGUGGGGGCGACCCUAAGGAAAGUGCCACAGAAAAGACACAGCCCACCCGGAGAAGUCCGCUUCCCCGGCGGCAAUGGUGAAAAGGUGGGGUAAGAGCCCACCAGUACUCCCGGUGACGGGAGUAGCUUGGUAAACCCUAUCCGGAGCAAGAUCAAAUAGGAAAGUGCUUGAGGGCGGCCCGCCCGAUGCUUUCGGGUUGAUUGCUCGAGCCUGUCGGCAACGGCAGGCCUAGAUUGAUGACUGCCGCCUCUCACGAGGAACAGAACCCGGCUUACCGGUCUACUUCGGCC
This 379-nucleotide RNase P RNA is filed under the name Nitrospinota bacterium. Its description in RNAcentral is "RNase P RNA component class A". It matches the Rfam family "Bacterial RNase P class A". From Rfam's summary of the family: Ribonuclease P (RNase P) is a ubiquitous endoribonuclease, found in archaea, bacteria and eukarya as well as chloroplasts and mitochondria. Its best characterised activity is the generation of mature 5'-ends of tRNAs by cleaving the 5'-leader elements of precursor-tRNAs. The record is from RNAcentral. Lineage: Bacteria; Pseudomonadati; Nitrospinota.